UGAGUGGCGGACGGGUGAGUAACACGUGGGUAACCUGCCCUAAAGUGGGGGAUAACAUUUGGAAACAGAUGCUAAUACCGCAUAAAACCUAACACCGCAUGGUGUAGGGUUGAAAGAUGGUUUCGGCUAUCACUUUAGGAUGGACCCGCGGUGCAUUAGUUAGUUGGUGAGGUAAAGGCUCACCAAGACCGUGAUGCAUAGCCGACCUGAGAGGGUAAUCGGCCACACUGGGACUGAGACACGGCCCAGACUCCUACGGGAGGCAGCAGUAGGGAAUCUUCCACAAUGGACGAAAGUCUGAUGGAGCAACGCCGCGUGAGUGAAGAAGGUUUUCGGAUCGUAAAACUCUGUUGUUGGAGAAGAAUGUAUCUGAUAGUAACUGAUCAGGUAGUGACGGUAUCCAACCAGAAAGCCACGGCUAACUACGUGCCAGCAGCCGCGGUAAUACGUAGGUGGCAAGCGUUGUCCGGAUUUAUUGGGCGUAAAGCGAGCGCAGGCGGUUUCUUAAGUCUGAUGUGAAAGCCUUCGGCUCAACCGAAGAAGUGCAUCGGAAACUGGGAAACUUGAGUGCAGAAGAGGACAGUGGAACUCCAUGUGUAGCGGUGAAAUGCGUAGAUAUAUGGAAGAACACCAGUGGCGAAGGCGGCUGUCUGGUCUGUAACUGACGCUGAGGCUCGAAAGCAUGGGUAGCAAACAGAAGUAGAUACCCUGGUAGUCCAUGCCGUAAACGAUGAGUGCUUGGUGUCGGAGGGGUUCCGCCCUUCAGUGCCGCAGCUAACGCAUAAAGCACUCCGCCUGGGGAGUACGACCGCAAUGGUGAAAUUCAAAGGAAUUGACGGGGGCCCGCACAAGCGGUGGAGGCAUGUGGUUUAAUUCGAAGCAACGCGAGGAACCUUACCAGGUCUUGACAUCCUUUGCCCACUCUAGAGAUAGAGCUUUUCCUUCGGGGACAAAGUGACAGGUGGUGCAUGGUUGUCGUCAGCUCGUGUCGUGAGAUGUUGGGUUAAGUCCCGCAACGAGCGCAACCCUUAUUACUAGUUGCCAGCAUUUAGUUGGGCACUCUAGUGAGACUGCCGGUGACAAACCGGAGGAAGGUGGGGACGACGUCAAAUCAUCAUGCCCCUUAUGACCUGGGCUACCCCCGUGCUACAAUGGAUGGUACAACGAGU
This 1169-nucleotide ribosomal RNA is filed under the name uncultured bacterium. RNAcentral's name for it is "bacterial SSU rRNA". It matches the Rfam family "Bacterial small subunit ribosomal RNA", at positions 92 to 1247 of the family's 1533-position model. The record is from RNAcentral.